This 253-nucleotide ribosomal RNA is filed under the name uncultured bacterium. RNAcentral's name for it is "partial 16S ribosomal RNA". It matches the Rfam family "Bacterial small subunit ribosomal RNA", at positions 524 to 776 of the family's 1533-position model. The record is from RNAcentral.
UACGAAGGGGGCUAGCGUUGCUCGGAAUCACUGGGCGUAAAGCGCACGUAGGCGGAUUGUUAAGUCAGGGGUGAAAUCCUGGAGCUCAACUCCAGAACUGCCUUUGAUACUGGCGAUCUCGAGUCCGGGAGAGGUGAGUGGAACUGUGAGUGUAGAGGUGAAAUUCGUAGAUAUUCGCAAGAACACCAGUGGCGAAGGCGGCUCACUGGCCCGGUACUGACGCUGAGGUGCGAAAGCGUGGGGAGCAAACAGG